CAGCCGCCGCGGGAAUACGAAGGGUGCAAGCGUUAAUCGGAAUUACUGGGCGUAAAGCGUGCGUAGGCGGAUUCUUAAGUCAGGGGUGAAAUCCCGAGGCUCAACCUCGGAACUGCCUUUGAUACUGGGGAUCUUGAGUCCGGAAGAGGUGAGUGGAACUGCGAGUGUAGAGGUGAAAUUCGUAGAUAUUCGCAAGAACACCGGUGGCGAAGGCGGCUCACUGGUCCGGAACUGACGCUGAGGCACGACAGCGUGGGGAGCAAACAGGAUUAGAUACCCGGGUAGUCCCUGUCUCUUAUAA
RNAcentral lists this ribosomal RNA (301 nucleotides) under uncultured bacterium. RNAcentral's name for it is "partial 16S ribosomal RNA". It matches the Rfam family "Bacterial small subunit ribosomal RNA", at positions 509 to 809 of the family's 1533-position model. The record is from RNAcentral.